AGCAGCCGCGGUAAUUCCAGCUCCAAUAGCGUAUAUUAAAGUUGUUGCAGUUAAAAAGCUCGUAGUUGAAUUUCGGGGUCAGUAGGUCGGUCGUGCCACUGGUAUGAACUGGUUUUACUGAUUCCUCCCUCUUGAAGAACUGUAAUGCCAUUAAUUUGGUGUUGCAGGGAAUCAGGACUGUUACUUUGAAAAAAUUAGAGUGUUUAAAGCAGGCUUUAGCUUGAAUACAUUAGCAUGGAAUAAUGAAAUAGGACGUUUGAUCCUAUUUUGUUGGUUUCUAGGAUUGACGUAAUGAUUAAUAGGGAUAGUUGGGGGCAUUAGUAUUCAAUUGUCAGAGGUGAAAUUCUUGGAUUUAUUGAAGACUAACUACUGCGAAAGCAUUUGCCAAGGAUGUUUUCAUUAAUCAAGAACGAAAGUUAGGGGAUCGAAGACGAUCAGAUACCGUCGUAGUCUUAACCAUAAACUAUGCCGACUAGGGAUCGGAUGAUGUUAAUUUUUUUAAUGACUCA
Molecule: ribosomal RNA, 509 nt
Filed under: Glomus sp. Glo3
Lineage: Eukaryota; Fungi; Glomeromycota; Glomeromycetes; Glomerales; Glomeraceae
Description: SSU rRNA
Rfam family: Eukaryotic small subunit ribosomal RNA
Source: RNAcentral